Molecule: ribosomal RNA, 423 nt
Filed under: uncultured bacterium
Lineage: Bacteria
Description: bacterial SSU rRNA
Rfam family: Bacterial small subunit ribosomal RNA
Source: RNAcentral
UGGGGAAUCUUGCACAAUGGGCGAAAGCCUGAUGCAGCGACGCCGCGUGAGGGAAGAAGGCUUUCGGGUUGUAAACCUCUUUCAGGAGGGACGAAGCUACUCGGGUUAAUAGCCCAGAGGGUGACGGUACCUUCAGAAGAAGCCCCGGCUAACUACGUGCCAGCAGCCGCGGUAAUACGUAGGGGGGCAAGCGUUGUCCGGAUUUAUUGGGCGUAAAGAGCGUGUAGGCGGCCAGAUAGGUCCGUUGUGAAAACUCGAGGCUCAACCUCGAGACGCCGAUGGAAACCAUUUGGCUAGAGUCCGGAAGAGGAGAGUGGAAUUCCUGGUGUAGUGGUGAAAUGCGCAGAUAUCAGGAAGAACACCCCGUGGCUAAGGCGGCUCUCUAGUACGGUACUGACGCUGAGACGCGAAAGCGUGGGGAGC